AAACUCAACUGUAGAAAGACUAGAAAGAGAUAAGAUAGAUUGACUUCUUUAUUACCAACUGAUGAAAGAAAAGUUUGGUAGAUAUGUUACCUUUCUUUGACAACUCAUGAAAGAAAAGGUUGGCAAGAUUUGAAAUUCUUUCAUCUGCAUCUUCCAGGCAGAUGGCCAAUUCAUUUAUAUAACCUUUCACCUAGAAAUGAUUCACACAAAUCAAGAUGCUAAAAAUCUACCACAAGAAAGCUACAUACGAGUGUAUGAUAGUCCUGCCAAACCUUCAAUAUGUCAUUCAGGAUCAGAUGAGAAAGAGAUAGAGAUAGAGAGGCUGCUUACAACAGUCACUCAGCCUAGAACAACAAUAUUCCCAGUGUAAUCCCAUAUACAUACUUUACCCCUACUUAGAGAUAGAGAGGUUGUUUCCCAUAGACCCUCUACCUAAAGCAUGACUAACUAAAGUGUGUAUAUAUAUUACAGGUAGUCAACAAAGUUGAGCAUAGUUUUAUAAUAUCUCACAACUCCAAUUUAACAUCAAUUGAACAUGAAAGGAGGAGGUACACAAAAGCAGAAGCUAAACUGCUCAGUUGUUUGUCAUUGAUAAUAUGGUUUUGGGCUAUAACAGUGUCUAAAAGUUUGUCAUUGAUAAUAUGGCU
RNAcentral lists this long non-coding RNA (647 nucleotides) under Capsicum annuum. RNAcentral describes it as "long non-coding RNA (CANN_LNC017352)". Lineage: Eukaryota; Viridiplantae; Streptophyta; Magnoliopsida; Solanales; Solanaceae. The record is from RNAcentral.